This is an RNA transcript of Perognathus longimembris pacificus (Pacific pocket mouse), 1191 nucleotides long. It is a transcript of the gene named F-actin-capping protein subunit alpha-1-like, with no coding region annotated. The transcript has a single exon. The record is from RefSeq and is a predicted model, not a curated record. Lineage: Eukaryota; Metazoa; Chordata; Mammalia; Rodentia; Heteromyidae.
AUGGCCAACUUCGAGGAUGGGGUGUCUGAUGAGGAGAAGGUACGCAUAGCUGCUAAAUUCAUCACCCAUACACCCCCCAGGAGAGUUUAAUGAAGUAUUCAAUGAUGUUCGGCUACUACUUAUUAAUGACAAUCUCCUCAGGGAAGGGACAGCACAUGCAUUUGCCCAGUAUAACAUGGAUCAUUUCACACCUGGGAAGAUAGAAGGAUAUGAAGAUCAGGUCCUAAUAACAGAGCACAGUGACCUGGGUAAUAGCAGAUUUUUAGAUCCAAGGAACAAAAUUUCCUUUAAGUUUGAUCACUUACGGAAAGAAGCAAGUGACCCCCAGCCAGAGGAAGUAGAUGGAGGUUUGAAGUCUUGGAGAGAAUUCUGUGACAGUGCUUUAAGAGCCUAUGUGAAAGAUCAUUAUUCCAAUGGCUUCUGUACUGUUUAUGCUAAAACUAUAGAUGGGCAACAGACUAUAAUCGCAUGUAUUGAAAGCCACCAGUUUCAGCCUAAAAACUUCUGGAAUGGUCAUUGGAGAUCAGAGUGGAAGUUCACAAUCACACCACCUACAGCCCAGGUAGUUGGAGUGCUAAAGAUUAAGGUUCACUAUUAUGAAGAUGGCAAUGUUCAGUUGGUUAGUCAUAAAGAUGUACAAGAUUCAUUAACUAUUUCUAAUGAAGUCCAAACUGCCAAGGACUUUAUUAAAAUCAUAGAGAGUGCAGAAAAUGAGUAUCAGACAGCAAUCAGUGAAAACUAUCAAACAAUGUCAGAUACCACAUUCAAGGCCUUGCGCUGGCAGCUUCCAGUUACCCGCACCAAAAUCGACUGGACCAAGAUACUCAGCUACGAGAUUGGUAAAGAAAUGCAGAAUGCUUAAAAGCUAUCUAUAGGAUUCUUCAGUGUAUGAAAGGAAAAGGAUUCAACGUGGUCAUAUGAUAAAUAAGUGAUUUAUAAACAAGAGUGAUAUUUUGCUAGGGCUUUCAAAGUUAACUGAUUUUCUAGUCUCAUGGAAUACUGUUGAACCUAUAGCAUUGUCUUGACUUUUGUGUGUGUGUGUGUUCUCUACCUUGUAGUUCUCUGUUAUCACUAUAUCUAUUAGUAUAAAUCUUUUUUUUUUCCUCCCUGCUACAUUUAAUGGAGAGUUCUAUCCUGGAGUCACUUUACCAUUUAGAAAAAUUUCCUAGCCAUGAAUUCCAGUUAUUGAUU